RNAcentral lists this ribosomal RNA (385 nucleotides) under uncultured bacterium. RNAcentral's name for it is "bacterial SSU rRNA". It matches the Rfam family "Bacterial small subunit ribosomal RNA", at positions 370 to 772 of the family's 1533-position model. The record is from RNAcentral.
AAUGGGGGAAACCCUGACGCAGCAACGCCGCGUGGAGGAAGAAGGUCUUCGGAUUGUAAACUCCUGUCUUCCGGGACGAUAAUGACGGUACCGGAGGAGGAAGCCACGGCUAACUACGUGCCAGCAGCCGCGGUAAUACGUAGGUGGCGAGCGUUGUCCGGAAUUACUGGGCGUAAAGGGCGCGUAGGCGGCUCUUUAAGUUAGAUGUGAAAACCCAGGGCUUAACUCUGGGACUGCAUUUAAAACUGAAGGGCUCGAGUGCAGGAGAGGUAAGUGGAAUUCCUAGUGUAGCGGUGAAAUGCGUAGAUAUUAGGAGGAACACCAGUGGCGAAGGCGACUUACUGGACUGUAACUGACGCUGAGGCGCGAAAGCGUGGGGAGCAAA